GGUUUGCAGGGUCAAAGGUUAGGAGCUUACAACUUGAGACGUAGAUGUGUGUGCCCCCAGGCUCUGCCCCUGCGGUCCCACCACUUCCAGAAGGUGGGCAAGAAGCCUGAGCUCACGCUUGUCUGGGAGCCUGAGGACGCAGGACAGGAGCAAGUGCAGCAGGUUGUCACCAUCUUCAGCCUGGUGGAGGUGGUACUGCAGGCCGAGACCACCGCCCUCAAGUACAGCGCCAUCCUCAAGCGGCCGGGCACCGAGGGCCUCCUGGGCCUGCAGGACAAGGAGGAGCGAGACACCGGUGGCCCACAGGCCUGAGGCCUCCCGCGCAGCCGCACCCCGCCCACACCCCUGCCCCACCCACCGGCUUUUAGGAAUGGGACCUUUCGACACCAAAGGGGAUUUUUAAUUUGGUUUUUAACAACUCAGGGUUUUGUUUUUAUUUCCUCAUUCUAUUUUAUUUUUGCAGCUCAGUUUUUAAACAAACUGGAGAGGAGAGGGCGGGGCUGGACGGAAGGCUGAGGCCUGGCUGGUGCUUCACUGGAGCGGAAUGGGACCCGGUCCUCCUGGGAAGGCCAGCCCCCCUUCUGCCAGGCCACCCACUGCCUUCCCCUGCCCAGGAAACCGGGGACUUUCAGCAAAUCAGUGUCAUGGAAUAAAAUCAAGUGUGAAUUAC
Molecule: non-coding RNA, 670 nt
Organism: Leptonychotes weddellii (Weddell seal)
Lineage: Eukaryota; Metazoa; Chordata; Mammalia; Carnivora; Phocidae
Source: RefSeq, a predicted model, not a curated record